UACGGGGGGUGCAAGCGUUAAUCGGAAUUACUGGGCGUAAAGAGUUCGUAGGUGGUUUAGAAAGUCGGAUGUGAAAGCCCUGGGCUCAACCUAGGAAUGGCAUUCGAAACUUCUAGACUAGAGUAUGGUAGAGGGAAGUGGAAUUCCCGGUGUAGCAGUGAAAUGCGUAGAUAUCGGGAGGAACACCAGUGGCGAAGGCGGCUUCCUGGACUAAUACUGACACUGAGGAACGAAAGCGUGGGGAGCAAACAGG
This 253-nucleotide ribosomal RNA is filed under the name uncultured bacterium. Its description in RNAcentral is "partial 16S ribosomal RNA". It matches the Rfam family "Bacterial small subunit ribosomal RNA", at positions 524 to 776 of the family's 1533-position model. The record is from RNAcentral.